This 418-nucleotide long non-coding RNA is filed under the name Rattus norvegicus (Norway rat). RNAcentral describes it as "long non-coding RNA NONRATT004486". The record is from RNAcentral. Lineage: Eukaryota; Metazoa; Chordata; Mammalia; Rodentia; Muridae.
CUGGAUAAACUGGUCCUGACCAGGCAGAAACUCACUUGCUUAGUGAGGGAUCCAAGAAUUGCCAGGCAGCGUGGGUACGAAGGGAUAGGUUAUGAGGAGGACUCCAGCCCCCCACCUUCCCAGCGUUCAGAAGGAGGAAUUUAUUAUCUACAUUCAGAGUUCAUCAAAACAAGGUUCCCGUCGUCCUCAAAGAGCUGAGAGUUCUCUUGCCAUGUAUGGCCUGCCACAGGACUUGCACCACAAAAUACCAGAGGACUCCUUACCCAACCUCACAUGUUCUCAGGGCCUGGCCCAGGAAAACUAAAGGUUCCAGUUCUAGAACUGGAGGGAUAAACUGACAGGCAAACAAAGAGAGGAAAAGAAGGAACGAGUCCAGAGAGAAAAGCUACAAAAGGAAAAAAACCAAACCAAAGAGCCA